Molecule: ribosomal RNA, 502 nt
Filed under: uncultured bacterium
Lineage: Bacteria
Description: partial 16S ribosomal RNA
Rfam family: Bacterial small subunit ribosomal RNA
Source: RNAcentral
GACGAACGCUGGCGGCGUGCUUAACACAUGCAAGUCGAACGGUGAAGGGGUCUGCUUUUGUGGGCCCUGGAUGAGUGGCGAACGGGUGAGUAACACGUGAGUAACCUGCCCCCUUCUUCUGGAUAACCGCAUGAAAGUGUGGCUAAUACGGGAUAUUCUGGGUCUGUCGCAUGAUGGGUCUGGGAAAGAUUGCGCCUUUGGGUGUUUUUGGGGGGGGAUGGGCGCGCGGCCUAUCAGCUUGUUGGUGGGGUGAUGGCCUACCAAGGCGGUGACGGGUAGCCGGCCUGAGAGGGUGGACGGUCACACUGGGACUGAGACACGGCCCAGACUCCUACGGGAGGCAGCAGUGGGGAAUAUUGCACAAUGGGCGCAAGCCUGAUGCAGCGACGCCGCGUGAGGGAUGGAGGCCUUCGGGUUGUAAACCUCUUUCGCCAGUGAAGCAGGCCUGCUCCUUGUGGGUGGGUUGACGGUAGCUGGAUAAGAAGCGCCGGCUAACUACGUG